Molecule: ribosomal RNA, 373 nt
Filed under: uncultured bacterium
Lineage: Bacteria
Description: bacterial SSU rRNA
Rfam family: Bacterial small subunit ribosomal RNA
Source: RNAcentral
UAAUACGAAGGAUCCAAGCGUUGUCCGGAUUUACUGGGUUUAAAGGGAGCGUAGGCGGACUUUUAAGUCAGUGGUGAAAGCUUGCAGCUUAACUGUAAAAUUGCCAUUGAAACUGAAAGUCUCGAGUAUGGUUGAGGUGACUGGAAUAUAUCAUGUAGCGGUGAAAUGCUUAGAUAUGAUAUAGAACACCAAUUGCGAAGGCAGGUCACUAAACCAUAACUGACGCUGAGGCUCGAAAGCGUGGGGAUCAAACAGGAUUAGAUACCCUGGUAGUCCACGCCCUAAACGUUGAAUACUCGAUCUUAGCGAUAUACAGUUAGGAUCCAAGCGAAAGCGUUAAGUAUUCCACCUGGGAAGUACGAUCGCAAGAUUG